Macaca fascicularis (crab-eating macaque) is the source of this 156-nucleotide small nuclear RNA. Its record names the gene U2. It matches the Rfam family "U2 spliceosomal RNA". Rfam says of the family: U2 is a small nuclear RNA (snRNA) component of the spliceosome (involved in pre-mRNA splicing). Complementary binding between U2 snRNA (in an area lying towards the 5' end but 3' to hairpin I) and the branchpoint sequence (BPS) of the intron results the bulging out of an unpaired adenosine, on the BPS, which initiates a nucleophilic attack at the intronic 5' splice site, thus starting the first of two transesterification reactions that mediate splicing. The record is from Ensembl. Lineage: Eukaryota; Metazoa; Chordata; Mammalia; Primates; Cercopithecidae.
AUCGCUUCUUGGCCUUUUGGCUAAGAUCAAGUGUAGUGUCUGUUCUUAUCAGUUUAAUCAUAAUCCUGAACAUUUGUAUAGUAUUUAUUAUUAUUAUUAUUAUUUUGACAUGGAGUCUCACUCUGUUGCCCAGGCUGGAGUGUAAUGGAACGGCCU